Molecule: non-coding RNA, 91 nt
Organism: Scenedesmus sp. NREL 46B-D3
Lineage: Eukaryota; Viridiplantae; Chlorophyta; Chlorophyceae; Sphaeropleales; Scenedesmaceae
Source: the annotation of a GenBank genome assembly
GCUCUCGUAGCUCACUGGUUUAGAGCGUUCCAUUCGGAAUCCUGGGUCACUCCAGGUGCGAGAGGUCACAGGUUCGAACCCGACUAGAGGC